This is a long non-coding RNA of Falco peregrinus (peregrine falcon), 2941 nucleotides long. RefSeq lists it as uncharacterized. Lineage: Eukaryota; Metazoa; Chordata; Aves; Falconiformes; Falconidae. The record is from RefSeq and is a predicted model, not a curated record. The transcript is spliced from 2 exons.
CGCUCCUGGAUCAGCUGAUGAGCGGAGCCGAGCGGUCGUUCGUCACCGUUGGCUUCAGCUGGACGUUGGCAAAGGGGUUUCUGCAGAGAAAGAGGAAGACAGAGUUUAGCAGGAGGGAUGGUGGCAGCAGGGGCCUGUGAGGACGGGGCACCGGCGCAGUGAGCGUCAACCUGCUGAGACCCCAAAAAGCUUUUGCUGCAGAGCCCAGGCGGCUCGGCUCGCUGCAGCAGCUGUGCGGGGUGUCCCUCGAGGGUCAGCCCAAGCCCCAGUGGGGCCGUCAGCCAGCCCAGGGCCACCAGCCCUGACCCCCCUCGGUCCAGCAGCAUUUGGGAAGGGAUUAAGCUGGAGAUGCUCUGCCCUGCAGAGCCUUGGGCCAAGCUGGCCCCGCUUUUCUGCCUCUAUCCCAGUUAAACCUAUGGUGGAUGUAAGAGAUGAGCUGGCAAGGGCGCCGCAUAUGGGAUGUUCUCCUCCAUCGCUCUGCAGCAGGCCCAAAACUGGGGCUGCCAAGGGGGCUCAGGGCUCGAGAAGCUGCUCCAGCCCCCCCUGGCUGGGCUUAAGUGGGAGCCCCCUGACAUCAGCACCGUGCCACUGUGGGAGCAGGUGGCUAUGGCUCCCUGUCUGCCAUGGGCUGCAUGGGGACCCCCCAGCCAAGCUGUGCCAGCUGAGCAGCCUGUGAAGCAGCCAAAUAUCUGGGGCAGCAGAGCCCGGGAGCGCCAGGUGAGCCGGCUGCACUGGAGCUCGGCAGGGCCACGAGAGCCAGCACAGCCCAGCUCCCGGCAGCCCACCCCCCUGAGGGAUUACCUACCUGGGGCAUCCCCAGAGCCAUUCCAGUGCCCCCAGCACCCACUGGCUAUGGCAGCGUGCUCCGUGUUCAGCCCAUGGCUGCACACAGCAUCUGCAAAUUGCACAGGUCCCACGGCUGGGACAAGGGCUGCUGUGUGGGGUGCUGUGACAUGGGGAGCACUCUUACCUGCCCUGAGGAGGUCCCCUCUGUCCCCUCCUGGCAGGACGGGCAGGAUUUAACUCCCAGAGGAUGCAGGCAGCUAUGGGGGUACCACUGACUGCCUGUGGUGCACAGUCACCCUGUGCUGUCUGCAGCCAUCAGGUCCAAACCUGCACCAGGCACAGUGGCCAAGGGAGCCACCGAGCACCCCUGCAGCCCCCUGCCCCCCUGCAGCCCCUGCCUCUCCUGCCUGCAGGCAGACAGCCCUCCCCUACCUGGCUGGCCCCAGCCCUCCCUGGGGAGCUGUGCAAACCCUCUCCUUCCUGCAGCGGUGGCAAUGGUGGUGUGCCUGCACCGGCGAGCCCUGCUCAGCCCCCAGCACUGCCACAGCUGGGUCCCACGGCUGACAGGUCUCCCCCAUGGGGCACAGCCCUGCUGUCCCCAGAGACGGGCGCAGGCGAACCGUUAGCCACACAAACAGGACCGUGGGGUUAAGCCACAUCAGGAGCAGCCGUGGUUACUGGCGACCUCCGCCUGGACCCAGGCAGCUUUGGGGACAUCCCCAACCACCUCCUGUGGGGCACGGGACAAGGCCUGGUCCCCGCAGGCCCCCUGGAAGGGCGCUCACUGCCUCCCCCCGGUCAUCCCUCGCCUCUCCACAUGUGCUUUUGCUUUCCUCAGAAGAUAAAUGGCUUUUGCUUAAAAAUAGGGUAAUUAAUUUCCCACCUAAUUAAUGCAGAUUCUUAGAUCACUUUCCCCCCCCCCAGGAUGCCAAAAUAGAUUCUCAGGACUGGAGGGAGUGGAAAGGUUGCUUUGAUGAGUCACCAGGGGUUAUUAUUUAACUAUUUUUGUUCUGGCAGACAAGAGCCAUUGGGAUGGGAGCUCGCAGCAUUGGCAGCCACAGGGAAAACAAGCUCACAAAUCAAAGAGAAACAGGAAAGGGGCUCUCCUGGGCUCUGCAAUGCCAGCGAGGAGAGGGCUGGGUCCGGUGAUGCAGCGCCUAGGCACUGGUGGGACAGCGGACACCUACAACCAAAGAAGCUGGUUAUGGGGAGCAGGGGAAGCAGCAGGAGCAGGAGGAGCAGCUCAGCGUCCCCAGGGGAAGCGUGGCCCCAGCAGGCUGCCCGGCGUGGCAGCGGUGUGAGGAGCCGUGCAGAUGCAGUGCGGUCAGACCCGGAGCUCCCGCCACCGGGAUGGGGACAAGCGGUGACUGAGGGAGGGGACGCACUCGGCCGGGUGCAGGGGGGGAAGCAGAGCGGUGGCACCGUCCCCGUGCAGCCCCACGGCCUGCCCAGCACCAGCGCACCCAGGGCUCAGCCCCCCCCACCAGACCAUCAACUUACUAACUACGGACAGGGGCACCUCAAAACCUGGCCACUUCAACAUCGGGGCUGCAAGGGAAAGAGAAGGCAGGUUGGAGGACACCGGGAUGCGCUCCGACCCCUUGACGGGAACAGAAGGUGUUGGUUAAGGAGACACGAGGUUUGGCUUUUGAUGUGAGCACCCAUCGGCUGCACUGCACACAGCACCUCCGGGCAGAGGAAGCAGGAAGAAAAAGAAGAAAAAGGAGGAAAAGUCAUGUUUAUCGAGUCACUGGUGCUGCCCGCCGGCUCCCUGCAAGGAGGGGAAGGAAGGGCACGGCCACAGCCGGGGCGCCGGGAGCCACCUGCAGAGGGGAGAGGCCAGGCACGGCAGGGGCUACGGAAGGGAGGCGGGGGGCUUCCUUCCCCCUGCCCCAGCCAUCGCAGCUUUCCCACCACCGCCAGGAUGGGAAAGCGCAGCCGUGGCAUGCGGCAGCAUCCCCUCCAGCCACACACACAGGAGGGACCCGGCCCUUAAACAGUUUUAGCUGCUCCCGCUCAGCAAAGCUGUUUAAAGCCUUCAGGGGCUGAGCACAGGCAGGCAGCACCCAGCAUCUCCGACAGCCACCAAAUGCCAAGGGGAUGGAGAACAGACAAAAAAAAAAAAAAAAAAAAAAAGGAAAAAACCCCCAACAAA